This 373-nucleotide ribosomal RNA is filed under the name uncultured organism. RNAcentral describes it as "bacterial SSU rRNA". It matches the Rfam family "Bacterial small subunit ribosomal RNA", at positions 526 to 896 of the family's 1533-position model. The record is from RNAcentral.
CGUAGGGACCGAGCGUUGUCCGGAUUCAUUGGGCGUAAAGAGCUCGUAGGCGGCUGCUCAAGUCGAAUGUGAAAACUCGAGGCUUAACCUCGAGCCUGCAUUCGAUACUGGGCGGCUAGAGUCUGGUAGGGGGAUCUGGAAUUCCUGGUGUAGCGGUGGAAUGCGCAGAUAUCAGGAGGAACACCGGUGGCGAAGGCGGGAUCCUGGGCCAGUACUGACGCUGAGGAGCGAAAGCGUGGGGAGCAAACAGGAUUAGAUACCCUGGUAGUCCACGCCGUAAACGAUGGGCGCUAGGUGUGGGAGGUCAUCGACUCCUUCCGUGCCGCAGCUAACGCAUUAAGCGCCCCGCCUGGGGAGUACGGCCGCAUGGCUA